GUCCUUUUGUUUACUUAGAAGGUCUGGCCUGCCCAGUGAGUAUUUAACGGCCGCGGUAUAUUGACCGUGCAAAGGUAGCAUAAUCAUUAGUCUUUUAAUAGGAGGCUGGAAUGAAAGGUUUAACGAAACAUAACCUGUCUUAUUUAUAUAAGAUAUAAUUUAAUUUUUAAGUUAAAAAGCUUAAAUUUUAUUGGUGGACGAGAAGACCCUAUAGAGCUUUAUAUUACUUAUUUUAAUAUUACUUUGUUUUAUAAUUUGAUAUUAACUUAAUUAUUAUUUUGUUGGGGUGACAAGAAUAUAUACUUAACUUUUAUUUUUAAUUAACAUUAAUAUAUGAUUAUUGGAUCCAUUAUUAUUGAUCAUCAGAUUAAGUUACCUUAGGGAUAACAGCGUAAUCUUCUUUCAGAGUUCAAAUUUACAAGAAGGCUUGCGACCUCGAUGUUGGAUUAAGAUAAUAAUUAGGUGCAGUAGCUUAAUUAAUAGGUCUGUUCGACCUUUAAAUUCUU
Molecule: ribosomal RNA, 506 nt
Filed under: Nehalennia speciosa
Lineage: Eukaryota; Metazoa; Arthropoda; Insecta; Odonata; Coenagrionidae
Description: partial 16S ribosomal RNA
Rfam family: Bacterial large subunit ribosomal RNA
Source: RNAcentral